CCUACGGGCGGCAGCAGUGAGGAAUAUUGGUCAAUGGCCGCAGGGCUGAACCAGCCAAGUCGCGUGAGGGAUGACGGUCCUAUGGAUUGUAAACCUCUUUUGUCAGGGAGCACAGGGCGCCACGUGUGGCGUUUUGCGAGUACCUGAAGAAAAAGCAUCGGCUAACUCCGUGCCAGCCGCCGCGGUAAUACGGAGGGAGCAAGCGUUAUCCGGAAUUAUUGGGUGUAAAGGGUGCGUAGAGGGGAAGUCAAGUUGGUUGUGAAAUCCCUCGGCUUAACUGAGGAACUGCAACCAAAACUAACUUUCUUGAGUGAUAGAGAGGAAAGUGGAAUUCCUAGUGUAGCGGUGAAAUGCGUAGAUAUUAGGAGGAACACCAGUGGCGAAGGCGACUUUCUGGACAGUAACUGACGUUGAGGCACGAAAGUGUGGGGAGCAAACAGGAUUAGAUACCCUAGUAGUC
This 460-nucleotide ribosomal RNA is filed under the name uncultured bacterium. RNAcentral's name for it is "partial 16S ribosomal RNA". It matches the Rfam family "Bacterial small subunit ribosomal RNA", at positions 338 to 795 of the family's 1533-position model. The record is from RNAcentral.